This 332-nucleotide long non-coding RNA is filed under the name Phoenix dactylifera (date palm). RNAcentral describes it as "long non-coding RNA (PDAC_LNC008817)". Lineage: Eukaryota; Viridiplantae; Streptophyta; Magnoliopsida; Arecales; Arecaceae. The record is from RNAcentral.
UGAUCCGGUCUUCAUCUCAGCUGUGAACAGCACCCAGCUUCUUCCAAAUCCCCUGCAUCCCAGAACAGAGUUCAUCUUCUCCGAAAAUCAAGCAUCCCGUGAGCCAUAUUCUCCCAUUCGGAUUAACUCCAUCGACCACGGAUGAAUCCCCUGCAUCCCGGAACCGAGUCUUCUUCAUGUUCCCUCCGUGACCGUAAUCCAACUCGUCCGUAGCAUUCCUCCCAACUGUCUGCCCUUCCUCUCAUUCGUAAGCUCCAAGUCCAGCUGCUCAACCGCAGAUCUAACUCAAAGUUUUCCGGAUUAGCCUUAUCUCCCACGAAUAAGGAUCCCAG